UCCCUCUCUCCCUCCUUCCCUCUUUCCCCUCUCUCAUUUUCUUAUCUGACACAGGUUUCCCACAUGCUCCAAUCUCAGUAGCAAAUGGCUACAGACAACAGGCAUAUCAGAUGUUCUCUCACAGAAGCAUGAAACUUCCAGAACAGAGGGCUAGACACAGGAAAUGGAGCAACCUGCAAUCCCAUAGCUUAGUAGCAGGGAAACAGAAAAUCUAAGGAUGAGGAGGACUGCCAUUGCUGGGGUUUUUAUCUUAUCCUGCCUCUUAAGUGGAAAACUUGCUCAAGAAUUCCCUGAAGAGCAGUUGGCCCAGGAAUCCAGGCAGCAGCUGACCCUCAACCAGGAAGAAGCCAGAUCGUUAGCAGGAGAAGGUGAUCAAAGGCCUGGGGCACAUGAAAGGUUGGCAGUUCUGCCCUCGGAGUCUGCCAGGAACAAGGGUUUAGGUUUCAAAGAAGCUUUGUGUCUCCAUCUCUUGCACUUAUGAAAAUUAUUAAGACUUGUUUGGGGGAGAAUUAUUGGCAAAUGUAACCUCUGGGUGAAAGAUAUAUUUUUGGAAAAUAAUUGGCCUAUUGCAUAUAAGUUGCUUAGCAGAGUCCAAGACAUAAACACCAUUCUUUUGUUGUGGUGGUUUAUUUUUUGAGACCAUUUUAAUUACAGCCUUUUCCCUUCCCUUUCCUCCUUCCAAACCCUCCCGUAGGCCCAUUCCCCACUCUUCUUCAAAUUCAUGGCUUCAGUUUGUUAUUGUAUGCAUAUCCACAUUUAAAAAUAUAUUUGUUGAUUGACCUGAUUAAUGGCUCUCGUGGCCCAGACUGUCUUCUAUUGAAAGUCACCUCAAUUGGAGCAAAGGAAGAUUAAAAAUGCAUUGUACAAUAUGUCUAGUAGGUUCUUAUG
Molecule: long non-coding RNA, 888 nt
Organism: Acomys russatus (golden spiny mouse)
Lineage: Eukaryota; Metazoa; Chordata; Mammalia; Rodentia; Muridae
Exons: 3
Source: RefSeq, a predicted model, not a curated record